RNAcentral lists this unclassified non-coding RNA (274 nucleotides) under Hevea brasiliensis (rubber tree). Lineage: Eukaryota; Viridiplantae; Streptophyta; Magnoliopsida; Malpighiales; Euphorbiaceae. The record is from RNAcentral.
AUUGAUUUUCUGUCAGAACCCUGUCGAAGUAUUUGGCUUGGGUGAUGGAAUUAAUUGGUAUUAUUUGCUAUCAUUGGAGAAAAUGGCGACGCGUAUUAUUUUGGUUUCAUGCUGUGUUGGUUAAUGCUUCAUUCAGGCGUGAGCAGGCGAGCAGCCCAUCGAGCCAUCAUUCUUUAGAGAACCUACUCGGGUCAAGUUGGAUUACAGUGCAAGGGCAAAAAUAGAAGGAUCAAGAUUGUCUAAUUUUGGUUGCUCAAUCUUAUGUAAGGCUGGG